CACCUGACCCCAUGCCGAACUCAGAAGUGUAACGCCGUAGCGCCGAUGGUAGUGUGGGGUCUCCCCAUGUGAGAGUAGGGAACUGCCAGGC
This 91-nucleotide ribosomal RNA is filed under the name Klebsiella pneumoniae. Lineage: Bacteria; Pseudomonadati; Pseudomonadota; Gammaproteobacteria; Enterobacterales; Enterobacteriaceae. The record is from RNAcentral.